GUCGGACAUCAGGAGGUUAGUGCAAUGGCAUAAGCCAGCUUGACUGCGAGCGUGACGGUGCGAGCAGGUGCGAAAGCAGGUCAUAGUGAUCCGGUGGUUCUGAAUGGAAGGGCCAUCGCUCAACGGAUAAAAGGUACUCCGGGGAUAACAGGCUGAUACCGCCCAAGAGUUCAUAUCGACGGCGGUGUUUGGCACCUCGAUGUCGGCUCAUCACAUCCUGGGGCUGAAGUAGGUCCCAAGGGUAUGGCUGUUCGCCAUUUAAAGUGGUACGCGAGCUGGGUUUAGAACGUCGUGAGACAGUUCGGUCCCUAUCUGCCGUGGGCGCUGGAGAACUGAGGGGGGCUGCUCCUAGUACGAGAGGACCGGAGUGGACGCAUCACUGGUGUUCGGGUUGUCAUGCCAAUGGCACUGCCCGGUAGCUAAAUGCGGAAGAGAUAAGUGCUGAAAGCAUCUAAGCACGAAACUUGCCCCGAGAUGAGUUCUCCCUGACUCCUUGAGAGUCCUGAAGGAACGUUGAAGACGACGACGUUGAUAGGCCGGGUGUGUAAGCGCAGCGAUGCG
Molecule: ribosomal RNA, 561 nt
Filed under: Escherichia coli
Lineage: Bacteria; Pseudomonadati; Pseudomonadota; Gammaproteobacteria; Enterobacterales; Enterobacteriaceae
Description: partial 23S ribosomal RNA
Rfam family: Bacterial large subunit ribosomal RNA
Source: RNAcentral